GGAUGUGAGGGUCAUCUGGCUGUGACAUCUGUCACUCCAUUGUUGGCCAGGACUGGUUCAACUGAUCUGGCCAACUAUACGGAUGUCUGCUUCCUCUCUCACUGCUCCAUGUAUGUAUAUGCUCCUAAGGCUCCAGUGCUGGCUCCCAGAGGAAGACCUUCCCCAGCAGAGGAGGGAAGAUCUUCAGUUAGGGUACAUGAGCAACUGCUCUUCUCCACAAGAACCUCUAAAGCACGUUCUGAAGAGAUCAGAAGUUUCAGGAUGAUUUUUUUACUAGUGUGUUUUUUGAGGCAGAUGGAGGCUAUCU
This 307-nucleotide small nuclear RNA is filed under the name Nannospalax galili (Upper Galilee mountains blind mole rat). RNAcentral describes it as "7SK RNA (ENSNGAG00000006744.1)". The stretch from base 1 to 272 matches the Rfam family "7SK RNA". From Rfam's summary of the family: 7SK was discovered as an abundant small nuclear RNA in the mid-70s but a possible function has only recently been suggested. Two independent studies have found that 7SK RNA binds the CDK9/cyclin T complex (known as elongation factor P-TEFb). Lineage: Eukaryota; Metazoa; Chordata; Mammalia; Rodentia; Spalacidae. The record is from RNAcentral.